GUGUCAGCAGCCGCGGUAAUACGUAGGGGGCGAGCGUUGUCCGGAUUUACUGGGCGUAAAGAGCGCGUAGGCGGCCUGUUAAGUUGGCUGUGAAAGGUCCCGGCUCAACCGGGAUAAGUCGGCCGAAACUGGCGGGCUUGAGGGCGGUAGAGGAAGGUGGAAUUCCGGGUGUAGUGGUGAAAUGCGUAGAUAUCCGGAGGAACACCGGUGGCGAAGGCGGCCUUCUGGGCCGUACCUGACGCUGAGGCGCGAAAGCGUGGGGAGCGAACUGAAUUAGAUACUCAGGUAGUCCACGCCCUAAACUAUGGACGCUAGGUGUCGGGGGUAUCGACCCCUCCGGUGCCGAAGCUAACGCAUUAAGCGUCCCGCCUGGGGAGUACGGCCGCAAGGCUAAA
This 395-nucleotide ribosomal RNA is filed under the name uncultured bacterium. Its description in RNAcentral is "bacterial SSU rRNA". It matches the Rfam family "Bacterial small subunit ribosomal RNA", at positions 505 to 898 of the family's 1533-position model. The record is from RNAcentral.